This 561-nucleotide long non-coding RNA is filed under the name Struthio camelus australis. Its description in RNAcentral is "lncRNA (ENSSCUG00000011789.1)". The record is from RNAcentral. Lineage: Eukaryota; Metazoa; Chordata; Aves; Struthioniformes; Struthionidae.
AUGUUUUCUUUGUUAGUCCAGGUCAAAUGCCCUUUGAAAGGGAGCAGAGCGCCGCGCGGCGCUCCGACCGAACGCCCCUUUGCCUCCGUGCAGCCUGGCCACCCUGUCGCCUUUGGUGCUGAUUGGAACCAGGGUCUCCCUCGCUCUCCUUUCCCUCCCAAGCUCCGAGUCUGCAGCGUAAGCUCAUUUCUUAGACUCCUGAGCAACGUUCAGGGCAGAGCUAGUUAUUCUGCUCUCAGGCUCAGAGGGAGGGAACGCGAGGCGCCAGCUGCCUCCCGGAGAGCCCUGGAAGCAAGGGCUGAGCUCCUGGCCUUAAAGUUGACAGUAAUGUUGAGGGUUUUUCCCCUUGCCACUGGGAGCUGUCAAUAGCAGACCUUUGGGGGCACUGGAUCUGCAGCCGCGCGGACGCUCGAGGCAGAAAUGUGAGCAGAUACCCGGUGGAUGCCACGUGCCGGCGCCUGCAGCGGGCCCUGCCCUAAGUACAGCCAAAGGCUGUUGAUGGCUCUAAGCACCAUUGGGAUGCGAAAUAAAGAGUAAGAGAAAGGGUGAAUCUUUUGGACU